RNA transcript from Physeter macrocephalus (sperm whale), 239 nucleotides. RefSeq lists it as uncharacterized. Lineage: Eukaryota; Metazoa; Chordata; Mammalia; Artiodactyla; Physeteridae. The record is from RefSeq and is a predicted model, not a curated record. The transcript is spliced from 2 exons.
ACACGGCAGGUGUGUCCGUUGGACAACAGAGAGUGGGAAUUUCAAAAGUAUGGGCACUAGAAAAAGAGAAUUCUUCCAUCAGGCUCAACUGUUUCAUUAGCCAUUUAAUGACUUGCCCUCCUGUUACUUAAUUAUAAAUUAGAUAGAACCGUGUUUUUUCUGCUUUGUCUUUUCAGUCUGCUAUUCCUGCACCCAUAUUGUAUUCUGUGUCAAAUAAAAUCCAGUUGGAUUCUAGAACA